RNAcentral lists this ribosomal RNA (474 nucleotides) under uncultured bacterium. RNAcentral's name for it is "bacterial SSU rRNA". It matches the Rfam family "Bacterial small subunit ribosomal RNA", at positions 328 to 793 of the family's 1533-position model. The record is from RNAcentral.
CUCUGUGACUCCUACGGGAGGCAGCAGUGGGGAAUAUUGCACAAUGGGCGCAAGCCUGAUGCAGCCAUGCCGCGUGUGUGAAGAAGGCCUUCGGGUUGUAAAGCACUUUCAGUUGUGAGGAAGGUGGUGUCGUUAAUAGCGGCAUCAUUUGACGUUAGCAACAGAAGAAGCACCGGCUAACUCCGUGCCAGCAGCCGCGGUAAUACGGAGGGUGCGAGCGUUAAUCGGAAUUACUGGGCGUAAAGCGCAUGCAGGUGGUUUGUUAAGUCAGAUGUGAAAGCCCGGGGCUCAACCUCGGAACUGCAUUUGAAACUGGCAGACUAGAGUACUGUAGAGGGGGGUAGAAUUUCAGGUGUAGCGGUGAAAUGCGUAGAGAUCUGAAGGAAUACCGGUGGCGAAGGCGGCCCCCCUGGACAGAUACUGACACUCAGAUGCGAAAGCGUGGGGAGCAAACAGGAUUAGAUACCCUGGUAG